GACGAACGCUGGCGGCGUGCUUAACACAUGCAAGUCGAACGGAAAGGCCCUGCUUUUGUGGGGUGCUCGAGUGGCGAACGGGUGAGUAACACGUGAGUAACCUGCCCUUGACUUUGGGAUAACUUCAGGAAACUGGGGCUAAUACCGGAUAGGAGCUCCUGCUGCAUGGUGGGGGUUGGAACGUUUCGGCGGUUGGGGAUGGACUCGCGGCUUAUCAGCUUGUUGGUGGGGUAGUGGCUUACCAAGGCUUUGACGGGUAGCCGGCCUGAGAGGGUGACCGGCCACAUUGGGACUGAGAUACGGCCCAGACUCCUACGGGAGGCAGCAGUGGGGAAUAUUGCACAAUGGGCGGAAGCCUGAUGCAGCAACGCCGCGUGCGGGAUGACGGCCUUCGGGUUGUAAACCGCUUUCACCUGUGACGAAGCGUGAGUGACGGUAAUGGGUAAAGAAGCACCGGCUAACUACGUG
RNAcentral lists this ribosomal RNA (468 nucleotides) under uncultured bacterium. RNAcentral describes it as "partial 16S ribosomal RNA". It matches the Rfam family "Bacterial small subunit ribosomal RNA", at positions 28 to 507 of the family's 1533-position model. The record is from RNAcentral.